UGGAGCUUGGGGAGGCCAGAGGUGGUGAGGGCGACGCAUCUUUGGUUGGGCUGCGGCCCUCUAUGCUUUUCCCUGCCGGUGCUCGCACUAGGAAGAAGGAGGCUUUGUCCGCUUUAGAAAGCUUACUCUUACUUCUCUGCAACCUGAGGAAGGUGAGUGUGUGCUUUUGUAGCUUUAGAAUGCUCGGAAUUCCGGUUAUUUUGUCUCCUUAAGAAACGAGCCACAGGAGCUUCCCAUAUGUGCGGCCAGUCAGUUCAAGCUCCAAUCCACGCCCCAUCUAUCAAGCUGUUUUUUUUAAGAGGUUUGACAUAAUCUAAAGGAUUUCCCAGCACUAAAAACCCAUCUUCUUAACUUGAUCUGAGCCAGUGAGGAGUUCUCAUGUAUUAUUGUUAGUUCAAGUUCUUCCAUGAUGUAGAGGAUAACUGGGCAAAGGUAAGGGAUAACUGGGCAAAGUUCUUCUGAAAGGUUGCUUUACCUUUGGGCAGCAAUAUGAGAAAUGACUCCAUACAAUUUGUCUCCAUGCAAUCCCAAUCAUUUUGAAGAAAACUGUAGACACUGUAGUGUUCAUGGUAUAAAACACUCUGGAACGGACUGACUUUAUGUUCACAGAAGUUUUUGCAAGUUUCUCACUAGUUCCAACCUGUAAAUGGUGACAAAGCUAUCUAAAGGACCUAACGUUGUGUUCCAAUUAAAUGCUUAAAAGUUGGUCCUUGGCAGCAGGCUCGUAUUCACUGUUUGUUGAUUGUUCUCCAAAGAGCACUCAUUGCACCACUGAUGCUUUCUCAGCUUCCUAAUUUUUGUCAUAAACUGUAGUAGUUAUGAUGUUUGGUAAAUUACACUUAAUUUGAAUAGCAGCACAAUUUUGCAAUUAACAUCAUGAAAUGUGAAAACAUGACCGCCAUGAAAGACAUAACGCCUAUGUCUUUUGAGGACUCUACUCUAACAUAUAUUCUUUUUAAAUCAAGAUCUCACUAGAGCUACUCAACUUUGGAGAAAGUCCUAUGGACCUGUUACUAACCAACUGCGUUCACUAGAACUGUCCUACAGAUGGGGGAGGGAGGGAGUGGCUGAUGGUCAUCCACUCUAUGACUACACCCAUCCUCAAAUUGAUGUGAGAUACAUCACCUUUCCUAUUAAAACUGGGCCUUAUUCUUCCGAAUGCAAGGUCCCCAGAGAACUCUUAGGAUCCUACCACUAUCAUCCCCUUUGUUCCAAGGGUCGAAGGCUUGUAAGCAACAGUAGUUACAUAGUUACAUAGCUCAAGUUCAGCCUUCCUCACAUUUCUAUUUUGCUGUUGAUCCAAAAGAAGGUUUGAAGCACUUCCUAUUUUGCAACAAACUAGGAAAAAAAAUUCCUUCUUGACCCCAGAAUGGCAGUCAGAUUUAUCCUUGAAUCAAGCAGCUAUUACCCUACAUUGAAAAAUUAUAUCCUUGAAUAUUGUUUUUGCAAGUAUGCAUUUAGUUGCUGUUUGAACAUCUGUAUGGACUCUGAUAAAAUCACUUCUUUAGGCAGAGAAUUCCACAUCCUUACAGUAAAAAAAACUUUCCUUUUGCCUUAGACAAAAUCUUCUUUCUUCCAGUCUAAACGCACGACCUUGUGUCCUAUGUAAAGUCCGGUUUGUGAAUAGAUUUCCACACAAUGGUUUUUAUUGGCCCUGAAUGUAUUUGUAUAAUGUCAUCAUAUCCCCUCUCAGGCGCCGUUUUUCUAAACUAAAGUGGUUUAAAUUUGUUAACCUUUCUUCAUAGCUGAUAUACUCCAUUCCUUUUAUUAAUUUUGUAUCCCACCUCUGCACUUUUUCUAGUGCCAUAUUAUCCUUCAUUAGAACAGGUGCCCAAAAUUGCACAGCAUAUUCAAUAUGUGGUCUUACCAGUGAUUUAUAAAGAGGCAAAAUGAUAUUCUCAUCCCGAGAAUGAUUGCCCUUUUUCAUGCAUGACAAUACCUUACUGGCCUUAGCCACUGCUGAUUUACAUUGCACAUUGUUGCAUAGUUUGUUGUCUAUAACAAUCCCCAAGUCCUUU
Pelobates cultripes (western spadefoot toad) is the source of this 2018-nucleotide non-coding RNA. The record is from the annotation of a GenBank genome assembly. Lineage: Eukaryota; Metazoa; Chordata; Amphibia; Anura; Pelobatidae.